Molecule: ribosomal RNA, 415 nt
Filed under: uncultured Prevotellaceae bacterium
Lineage: Bacteria; Pseudomonadati; Bacteroidota; Bacteroidia; Bacteroidales; Prevotellaceae
Description: bacterial SSU rRNA
Rfam family: Bacterial small subunit ribosomal RNA
Source: RNAcentral
UGAGGAAUAUUGGGUCAAUGGGCGAAAGCCUGAACCAGCCAAGUAGCGUGCAGGAUGACGGCCCUAUGGGUUGUAAACUGCUUUUAGGCGGGGGUAAAGGGGCGGACGUGUUCCGCCUUUGCAAGUACCGCCAGAAAAAAGGACCGGCUAAUUCCGUGCCAGCAGCCGCGGUAAUACGGAAGGCCCGGGCGUUAUCCGGAUUUAUUGGGUUUAAAGGGAGCGUAGGCGGGCUAUUAAGUCAGCUGUGAAAUCCGGCGGCUCAACCGUCGGCCUGCAGUUGAUACUGGUGGUCUUGAGUGCGCGCAGGGGCGUUGGAAUUCAUGGUGUAGCGGUGAAAUGCUCAGAUAUCAUGAAGAACUCCGAUCGCGAAGGCAGAUGCCCGGAGCGCAACUGACGCUGAGGCUCGAAAGUGCGG